AGUGAACGCUGGCGGUAGGCCUAACACAUGCAAGUCGAACGGCAGCACAGUAAGAGCUUGCUCUUACGGGUGGCGAGUGGCGGACGGGUGAGGAAUACAUCGGAAUCUACUUUUUCGUGGGGGAUAACGUAGGGAAACUUACGCUAAUACCGCAUACGACCUACGGGUGAAAGCAGGGGAUCUUCGGACCUUGCGCGAUUGAAUGAGCCGAUGUCGGAUUAGCUAGUUGGCGGGGUAAAGGCCCACCAAGGCGACGAUCCGUAGCUGGUCUGAGAGGAUGAUCAGCCACACUGGAACUAAGACACGGUCCAGACUCCUACGGGAGGCAGCAGUGGGGAAUAUUGGACAAUGGGCGCAAGCCUGAUCCAGCCAUACCGCGUGGGUGAAGAAGGCCUUCGGGUUGUAAAGCCCUUUUGUUGGGAAAGAAAAGCAGCAGGUUAAUACCCCGCUGCUCUGACGGUACCCAAAGAAUAAGCACCGGCUAACUUCGUG
RNAcentral lists this ribosomal RNA (492 nucleotides) under uncultured bacterium. RNAcentral's name for it is "partial 16S ribosomal RNA". It matches the Rfam family "Bacterial small subunit ribosomal RNA", at positions 29 to 507 of the family's 1533-position model. The record is from RNAcentral.